Molecule: long non-coding RNA, 905 nt
Organism: Corapipo altera (White-ruffed manakin)
Lineage: Eukaryota; Metazoa; Chordata; Aves; Passeriformes; Pipridae
Exons: 4
Source: RefSeq, a predicted model, not a curated record
GUUUCGCCGGAGACUCCUUAAUCCGACAUCCUGUUCUGCCGCAUAGCUGCUCGCUGACACUCGGGGCACUCCGAGCUGCUGCCCUGACCAAAAAACCUUUGUACACGCGAAAGGCCGUGUUGCAACCCCGUGUUCCCUGCUCCACACAGAACAGGGAAGUGGAACAAUCAGCUAAUUAAAGAUGGAGAGAAAAGAAAGCAGAUGAGCCAGGAAGCUCCCACCGGCAGCGCUGAGCUCCGGCUUUGGGGCUGGUACAAAAGGGGACGUGUGCCCAGGAGCAAAUCAAGAAGCCAGAGGCUGCUGACAAGCCCAGCCAGCCCCGGCCAUUCCUGCAGCAGGUAAGGGAUGCGGACGAGGCACAUUCGGAGCGUUUUGACAGCCGGGGAUGGGCGCUGGGGGCAGGAUUGGUAGAACUCCUCUAGGGGUGUGUGUUAACUGGUGUCCUGCUGGAUGGCAACAAAAGAAAACAUCCAAGCAGUGAUAAGUGACACGUCUCCCUCAAACGGCACUGAUUCUCUCUGUCAGCAGAUUUCCAAGGCAAACAUGAUCUAGCAAAGCUAAACACUCUGGAUUAAAGAAUGCUAAUUUGAAAAAAUACUGCAACUGAGAAAUACCAAAACAACAACAACAAAAGAAAGAUGUUUUUACACACUUUGAGAAAACCAUCCAAGGACACAAAGCUAAAAUCUAAGUGUUGCUCCCCGAAGUCAAUGCGUUUGCAAACAUGGCAGACAAUAAAUAUGGAUCUUCCACUCCUGUUUCAAAGACACCCAAAGACACCUCGUGCACCUCUCUGAGGCUAAAAGCAGAGCGGGGUUUAACACUGGAAGCUAAAUGGUUUUCUACAGGAAACUUCCAACAGUGCUAAUGUGUAUUUUAAUACUGAAUUAAAACCAAACCUGGUC